AGAGAGAGACAUGCGCGCAUAUCAAUAAGCGGAGGAAAAGAAACUAACAAGGAUUCCCCUAGUAACGGCGAGUGAAGCGGGAAGAGCUCAAAUUUGAAAUCUUAAAGGGUUUCCCUUUACGAAUUGUAGUUUAAAGAAGUGUUUUCUGUUGAGGUUUUGGUAAAAGUUCUUUGGAAUAGGACAUCAUAGAGGGUGAGAAUCCCGUAUUUGACCUUUACUUUCAACUUUGUGAUACACUUUCAAAGAGUCGGAUUGUUUGGGAACGCAGUCCAAAAUGGGUGGUAAAUUCCAUCUAAAGCUAAAUAUUGGCGAGAGACCGAUAGCGAACAAGUACCGUGAGGGAAAGAUGAAAAGAACUUUGAAAAGAGAGUUAAACAGUACGUGAAAUUGUCAAAAGGGAAGCGUUUGACACCAGUGUUGUUUUUCUGAAAAUCAAUUAAAGAACUGUUUAUGCUAAGUUGUUUAGACUUUAUCAGCUAACUGUUUAGUUUUGAGCUUUUCUUUAAUGCACUUUUCAGUUAACAAGUCAACAUCAAUUUCUUUUGCUGUAAAAAAGCUUGAGGAAGGUGGCUUGAGAUUCGUCUUAAGUGUUUAUAGCCUCUUGCCUAUGCAGUCGGAGAGAUUGAGGUCUGCAGCGUAGAUCCUUCGGGGCUAAAUGCAUUUGUGCUAAGUUAUAGCAUUUUAUAGACAACUUGUUGACUAUGAUUUGUCUUGUAGCUUACUCGCUUAUGUUAUUUUACCUACGCUUAGGAUGUUGACGCAUGAGAUAUACGC
This 774-nucleotide ribosomal RNA is filed under the name uncultured Neocallimastigales. RNAcentral describes it as "partial large subunit ribosomal RNA". It matches the Rfam family "Eukaryotic large subunit ribosomal RNA", at positions 23 to 646 of the family's 3401-position model. Lineage: Eukaryota; Fungi; Neocallimastigomycota; Neocallimastigomycetes; Neocallimastigales. The record is from RNAcentral.